AACCUUAUGGACCUGCGGGCGUAUACCUGCGGAGGGAUCAUUACAGAGUUGCAAAACUCCCUAAACCAUUGUGAACGUUACCUAAACCGUUGCUUCGGCGGGCGGCCCGGGUCCUUCCCGGCGCCCCUCGGCCCUCGCGGGCGCCCGCCGGAGGUAAACCAAACUAUUGCAUUGUAUGGCCUCUCUGAGUCUUCUGUACUGAAUAAGUCAAAACUUUUAACAAUGGAUCUCAGAUCGGAA
RNAcentral lists this unclassified non-coding RNA (240 nucleotides) under soil metagenome. RNAcentral's name for it is "partial contains 5.8S ribosomal RNA, internal transcribed spacer 2, and large subunit ribosomal RNA". The record is from RNAcentral.